This 448-nucleotide ribosomal RNA is filed under the name uncultured bacterium. RNAcentral's name for it is "partial 16S ribosomal RNA". It matches the Rfam family "Bacterial small subunit ribosomal RNA", at positions 29 to 523 of the family's 1533-position model. The record is from RNAcentral.
AACGAACGCUGGCGGCAUGCCUAACACAUGCAAGUCGAACGAAGCCUUCGGGCUUAGUGGCGCACGGGUGCGUAACGCGUGGGAAUCUGCCCUGGGUUCGGAAUAACAGUUAGAAAUGACUGCUAAUACAGGAUGAUGUCUUCGGACCAAAGAUUGAUCGCCCAAGGAUGAGCCCGCGUGGGAUUAGGUAGUGGGUGGGGUAAUGGCCCACCAAGCCGACGAUCCUUGGCUGGUAUGAGAGGAUGUGCAGCCACACUGUGACUGAGACACGGCCCAGACUCCUACGGGAGGCAGCAGUGGGGAAUAUUGGACAAUGGGCGAAAGCCUGAUCCAGCAAUGCCGCGUGAGUGAUGAAGGCCUUAGGGUUGUAAAGCUCUUUUACCAGGGAUGGUAAUGACAGUACCUGGAGAAUAAGCUCCGGCUAACUCCGUGCCAGCAGCCGCCGUAA